Molecule: ribosomal RNA, 433 nt
Filed under: uncultured bacterium
Lineage: Bacteria
Description: partial 16S ribosomal RNA
Rfam family: Bacterial small subunit ribosomal RNA
Source: RNAcentral
AACGAACGCUGGCGGCAUGCCUAACACAUGCAAGUCGAACGAAACCUUCGGGCUUAGUUGCGCACGGGGGGGUGACACGGGGGGAGCUGCCCUUAAGUUAGCAAUAACUCCCUGAAAGGGGUCCUAAUACCGGAUAAUGUCAUACCACCAACGAUGUAUCGCCUUUGGAUGGGCGCGCGUUGGAUUAGCUGGUUGGUAGGGUAAAAGCCUACCAAGGCGUCGUUCCAUAGCUGGUCUGAGAGGAUGAGCAGCCACGCUGGAACGAAGAAGCGGCCCAGACUCCUACGCGAGGCAGCAGUGGGGAAUAUUGGACAGUGGGCGAAAGCCUGAACCAGCAAUGCCGCGUGAGUGAUGAAGGCCUUAGGGUUGGAAAGCUCUUUUACCCGGGAUGAUAAUGACAGUACCGGGAGAAUAAGCUCCGGCUAACUCCGUG